CCUACGGGAGGCAGCAGUGGGGAAUAUUGCGCAAUGGGCGAAAGCCUGACGCAGCGACGCCGCGUGAGGGACGAAGGCCUUCGGGUUGUAAACCUCUUUCAGCAGGGACGAAGCGAAAGUGACGGUACCUGCAGAAGAAGCACCGGCCAACUACGUGCCAGCAGCCGCGGUAAUACGUAGGGUGCAAGCGUUGUCCGGAAUUAUUGGGCGUAAAGAGCUCGUAGGCGGUCUGUUGCGUCGGCUGUGAAAACUCGGGGCUCAACCCCGGGCCUGCAGCCGAUACGGGCAGACUAGAGUUCGGCAGGGGAGACUGGAAUUCCUGGUGUAGUGGUGAAAUGCGCAAAUAUCAGGAGGAACACCGGUGGCGAAGGCGGGUCUCUGGGCCGAUACUGACGCUGAGGAGCGAAAGCGUGGGGAGCGAACAGGAUUAGAUACCCUGGUAGUCCACGCCGUAAACGUUGGGCGCUAGGUGUGGGUUCCCUUCCACGGGAUCCGUGCCGCAGCUAACGCAUUAAGCGCCCCGCCUGGGGAGUACGGCCGCAAGGCUAAAACUCAAAGGAAUUGACGGGGGCCCGCACAAGCGGCGGAGCAUGUGGCUUAAUUCGAGGCAACGCGAAGAACCUUACCUGGGUUUGACAUGCAGGGAAAUCUCCCAGAGAUGGGAGGUCCGCAAGGGCCUUGCACAGGUGGUGCAUGGCUGUCGUCAGCUCGCGUCGUGAGAUGUUGGGUUAAGUCCCGCAACGAGCGCAACCCUCGUCCUAUGUUGCCAGCACAUCAUGGUGGGGACUCAUAGGAGACUGCCGGGGUCAACUCGGAGGAAGGUGGGGAUGACGUCAAGUCAUCAUGCCCCUUAUGUCCAGGGCUGCACACAUGCUACAAUGGCCGGUACAAAGGGCUGCUAAACCGCGAGGUGGAGCGAAUCCCAAAAAGCCGGUCUCAGUUCGGAUCGGGGUCUGCAACUCGACCCCGUGAAGUCGGAGUCGCUAGUAAUCCCAGAUCAGCAACGCCGCGUGGAAUACGUUCCCGAG
RNAcentral lists this ribosomal RNA (1028 nucleotides) under uncultured bacterium. Its description in RNAcentral is "bacterial SSU rRNA". It matches the Rfam family "Bacterial small subunit ribosomal RNA", at positions 338 to 1378 of the family's 1533-position model. The record is from RNAcentral.